Molecule: long non-coding RNA, 1008 nt
Organism: Carassius gibelio (silver crucian carp)
Lineage: Eukaryota; Metazoa; Chordata; Actinopteri; Cypriniformes; Cyprinidae
Exons: 6
Source: RefSeq, a predicted model, not a curated record
UUUUUUAUUAUUUUAUUGUUUUUAUUAGCCUUCUAGCCGUUGAGAGUUACCAUGGCAACCGCGUACACAUCAGCUGCUGGAGAGGAGAGGACUCGUCUGACAUUUUCUCUGUUUCUCGUCAGUUAUACCAAAGAAAAGGCCAACAACUGCGACAGAUUUUGAUUUCAGGAGUGUCUUAAAAACCCUCUAAAACAGAGGAGAAGUUCCAAGAAAAUGUCUAACGGGAGCUGCUGACAGAGAUAGAAAACACAGUUUGUUUAUUUCUAAUAAGGAGCUGGAGGCCGUGAAGAUACAGAUCCAUGAUAUCGUGGAGAAGCAGGCUCAGCUGAGCGAGUGGAGAGCUGUGCUGGAAAUAUUCAGGGGUUGAUGCUCAUACGUCCAGGUGUAAGACAUGAUCCAGGCCCUGGGCGACGACCUCUCUCCAUCCGCCGCCUCCGGUCUUCAGGAUCUCCACCAGAACCCGAUUCGCUCCACUUCGCGAGACAGAACAAAACGCUGUGAUCAUCAGAGACUCCAUCGUCCGGCACGUUUGCGCUAUGUUAGCUGAAGGUAAAGUCCACACUGACUACUUCCCUGGUGCUCAUGUUCUUGAUAUUUCUGCACAGAUUCCCGUGACCCUGAAGAGUGAGGUGGGCAUCAGAGCGGACGGAGACGCUGAAGAGGGACUUCAGGAGCCUGAUCAAGACAGUGCGCAGCAUAUCGCCUGCAUGAUGAUCAUCGUGUCAGGACCACUUCCCACGUAUAGAUGAGGACAUGAAAGGCUUUUUAGAUCUCCUGUUGGACAACAUCUCCAGGACACUUCGCUCCAUAUGACUAGGCAGUUUGUGAAAAGAGAUAAUCAAGAGAAGUCAGUUCCAGAUCCACCCUCCACACCAGACCUCUCUCUCACGAGGAUUGCUGUCUACUAGCAUAUUGUGUUCUUCAGCUCUUCAGACUUCGGUAGAUGCAGAUAUUACUCAGGGACAUGAACACUAGAAUAUUGCAAGAAUAGAGAAAGUAAGAAUUACU